UUUCUAGCUUGCUAGAUAGAUGACGAGUGGCGGACGGGUGAGUAAUACUUAGGAACAUGCCUUUGUGUGGGGGAUAACUAUUGGAAACGAUAGCUAAUACCGCAUAACGUCUUCGGACCAAAGGGGGCUUCGGCUCCCGCGCAAAGAGUAGCCUAAGCGAGAUUAGCUUGUUGGUGAGGUAAAGGCUCACCAAGGCGACGAUCUCUAGCUGUUCUGAGAGGAAGAUCAGCCACACUGGAACUGAGACACGGUCCAGACUCCUACGGGAGGCAGCAGUGGGGAAUAUUGCACAAUGGGGGAAACCCUGAUGCAGCCAUGCCGCGUGUGUGAAGAAGGCCUUCGGGUUGUAAAGCACUUUCAGUUGUGAGGAAAGGUUAACGGUUAAUACCCGUUAGCUGUGACGUUAGCAACAGAAGAAGGACCGGCUAACUCCGUGCCAGCAGCCGCGGUAAUACGGAGGGUCCGAGCGUUAAUCGGAAUUACUGGGCGUAAAGCGCACGCAGGCGGUUUGUUAAGCUAGAUGUGAAAGCCCUGGGCUCAACCUGGGAAUUGCAUUUAGAACUGGCAGGCUAGAGUUUUGGAGAGGGGAGUGGAAUUCCAGGUGUA
This 606-nucleotide ribosomal RNA is filed under the name uncultured bacterium. RNAcentral describes it as "bacterial SSU rRNA". It matches the Rfam family "Bacterial small subunit ribosomal RNA", at positions 72 to 677 of the family's 1533-position model. The record is from RNAcentral.